GGCGGAGUGGCGAAAUGGUAUCGUGUGGUCCUCCUAUCUGAAGGAUCCAGACUGAGGUUGUGGGUUCGAGUCCCAUCUUCGUCG
Echria macrotheca is the source of this 84-nucleotide non-coding RNA. The record is from the annotation of a GenBank genome assembly. Lineage: Eukaryota; Fungi; Ascomycota; Sordariomycetes; Sordariales; Schizotheciaceae.